This 617-nucleotide unclassified non-coding RNA is filed under the name Hevea brasiliensis (rubber tree). The record is from RNAcentral. Lineage: Eukaryota; Viridiplantae; Streptophyta; Magnoliopsida; Malpighiales; Euphorbiaceae.
GUCCUUUUUAACUUUGCUUAGUUGCCCUGAAACAGAGGUUGUCUUAAAAUUUUCUGAUGCAUAUUAUUGAAGUACUCAAAGUUUUGCAUAAUCAGCAUUUUGUUUAAAAAAUAUUUUCUGUAGUGCUGCAGGGGUGACGAUGAAUAUGAUUUAAAGUUUAUUUUUCCUUUCCUCCCUCUUUCUUUUUGAAUGGAUACCAUGCAACUUUACGGGCUACUUAUCAUUGAAAGUUAUUUCUUGACAAGUUCCUAUUUGCCGUGAUAUGGCAACAUUCAUUGAUAGUCUGAGACAUGUAAACUGUGAUUAAAACUGCAGUUUUUGGAAAAUCUUCAUUAUUGCAAAUUUGUAAUCAUUUUAAAUUUGGAACAAAAAGGAACCUGGACACCACUUAUUGAAUAUUCAAUCUGAUUAGUCUAGGUAUCAGGUGGGACUUAAUAGGUUCUUAUUUGUGGCAAAUUUCUUUGAUUUGAUUUGCAAGUAUAUGCACAUAUUAGUAUAUAAUGGGACCAGUAUUUGGAGAAUAGGCUUGACUUUAUUGCAUUUUAUUUCUUGUUUAGGUUAUUAAAGGGCAAUUCUUUUGAAAUGUAAUAAAUAAGGUGGUUGUCACUUUUGAUAGG